GUGAACGCUGGCGGUAGGCCUAACACAUGCAAGUCGAACGGCAGCACAGUAAGAGCUUGCUCUUACGGGUGGCGAGUGGCGGACGGGUGAGGAAUACAUCGGAAUCUACUUUUUCGUGGGGGAUAACGUAGGGAAACUUACGCUAAUACCGCAUACGACCUACGGGUGAAAGCAGGAGAUCUUCGGACCUUGCGCGAUUGAAUGAGCCGAUGUCGGAUUAGCUAGUUGGCGGGGUAAAGGCCCACCAAGGCGACGAUCCGUAGCGGGUCUGAGAGGAUGAUCGUCCACACUGGAAAUGAGACACGGUCCAGACUCCUACGGGAGGCAGCAGUGGGGAAUAUGGGACAAGGGGAGCAAGCCUGAUCCAGCCAUACCGCGUGGGUGAAGAAGGCCUUCGGGUUGUAAAGCCCUUUUGUUGGGAAAGAAAAGCAGCAGGUUAAUACCCCGCUGUUCUGACGGUACCCAAAGAAUAAGCACCGGCUAACUUCGUG
This 491-nucleotide ribosomal RNA is filed under the name uncultured bacterium. Its description in RNAcentral is "partial 16S ribosomal RNA". It matches the Rfam family "Bacterial small subunit ribosomal RNA", at positions 29 to 507 of the family's 1533-position model. The record is from RNAcentral.